GACGAACGCUGGCGGCGUGCUUAACACAUGCAAGUCGAGCGGUAAGGCCCUUUCGGGGGUACACGAGCGGCGAACGGGUGAGUAACACGUGGGUGACCUGCCCUCAGCUCUGGGAUAAGCCUGGGAAACCGGGUCUAAUACCGGAUAUGACUCCAUGACGCAUGUUGUGGGGUGGAAAGCCUUGUGCGGCUGAGGAUGGGCCCGCGGCCUAUCAGCUUGUUGGUGGGGUGAUGGCCUACCAAGGCAACGACGGGUAGCCGGCCUGAGAGGGCGACCGGCCACACUGGGACUGAGACACGGCCCAGACUCCUACGGGAGGCAGCAGUGGGGAAUCUUGCGGCAAUGGGCGAAAGCCUGACGCAGCGACGCCGCGUGAGGGAUGACGGCCUGGUGU
This 394-nucleotide ribosomal RNA is filed under the name uncultured bacterium. Its description in RNAcentral is "bacterial SSU rRNA". It matches the Rfam family "Bacterial small subunit ribosomal RNA", at positions 28 to 422 of the family's 1533-position model. The record is from RNAcentral.